CUGAAGUCACUUUGGCCGAUUUGGCGAAUCUACGUCAAAUGCCAAACGAAUGGGCAGAAAGUUUUCUCCAAAGGUUCAAGACAGCAAGAAGCAAGUGUUUUGUACCUCUGCCCAAAAAAGAAUUUGUCAAAAUUGCUCAGGGCUACUUGAGCUUUGAUUUAAAAAAGAAAUUCCAGGACAAGGAAUUUCCUGACCUUUUCCAGUUGAGUGCGAAUGUGAUUAGGUAUGAACGACUGAUAAGAGAGGAAGAACAGAUGGAAAAUUCUAGUAAAGUGACUUAUUACAAAGACCCAAAUUUUGAUGUUCAUACCAUCAAUGACGAGUCAUACGAUCAGGCCGAAAUGUGUUUGGUCGAAUUGGUCAAAGGAGAUACGUAUACUUGUCCCAUAAUGGCCAAGCCUAGACCAUCGAGCAAAGACGAACCCAUGAAAGAUGGAAAUAUAAAGGCUAGAACGUUCUCGUUCGACGUAACCAAAGCUGACCUUACAUUUGAUAAAUUAUAUAGGGAUAAGCAGAUAAAGUUGAGAGAUAAGCACAAAUUGCCAAACCCUGAACAAAUUAAGGGUAAAAAAUAUUGUAAGUGGCAUAAUACAUGGUUACAUUUGACUAACAAUUGCUUGGUUUUUCGCCAUGUAUUGCAGGGUGCCAUUGAAUCAGGACGAAUUACGUUCGACGAUAAGAAGAAGAUGGCAGUGGAUGAAAAUCCUUUUCCACAGCCACUUGGAGUGAACAUGGUGACGUCUGGAUUCAAAAACAAGUUGCCAAAAUUCAAGUUGGUCGUAGAUGAUGGAGAAGAGGAUCUUAGACCACAUCCCAGUGUCUUUGAACGAAUCAAGGGGAAAGAACCAAAAAAGGACGAAGACGUCCUGUGUGCAAGAUGUAAAAGAGAAGUGAAUGGCAAUACGGAGAAACCAGGGAUAUGGUAGUAUCCCCAUCGCCCUACCUUCUUCCCAAACACUCAGUCUGGUAGAGGGCGAGGUAUAUCAUUCUAUAGAGGACCAC
RNAcentral lists this long non-coding RNA (1002 nucleotides) under Olea europaea subsp. europaea. The record is from RNAcentral. Lineage: Eukaryota; Viridiplantae; Streptophyta; Magnoliopsida; Lamiales; Oleaceae.